This 402-nucleotide ribosomal RNA is filed under the name uncultured bacterium. RNAcentral describes it as "bacterial SSU rRNA". It matches the Rfam family "Bacterial small subunit ribosomal RNA", at positions 355 to 774 of the family's 1533-position model. The record is from RNAcentral.
UGGGGAAUAUUGCACAAUGGAGGAAACUCUGAUGCAGCGACGCCGCGUGAAGGAAGAAGGUCUUCGGAUUGUAAACUUCUGUUGUCAGGGACGAUAAUGACGGUACCUGACGAGAAAGCCACGGCUAACUACGUGCCAGCAGCCGCGGUAAAACGUAGGUGGCAAGCGUUGUCCGGAAUUACUGGGUGUAAAGGGAGCGCAGGCGGAUUGACAAGUUGGAGGUGAAAUUCAUGGGCUCAACCCAUGACCUGCCUUCAAAACUGUCAGUCUUGAGUGGUGUAGAGGUAGGCGGAAUUCCCGGUGUAGCGGUGGAAUGCGUAGAUAUCGGGAGGAACACCAGUGGCGAAGGCGGCCUACUGGGCACUAACUGACGCUGAGGCUCGAAAGCAUGGGUAGCAAACA